UGAAACAUGAAUGGGCUAAAGGAGUAUUAAGUGACAUUGAACACCUCACAGAAGGAAAAAUAGAAGAGGUAAUAAAUGAAUAUUUGAAGGACUUCAAAGAAGAUUCGCUUCAAGCCAAGGGCUGGCCUCCUUUCAUGUCAGCCUACAUACUCUCUAAAGCAGUGAUGAACGCGUACUCCAGGAUCAUGGCAAAGAAGCAUCCAUCUAUACAGAUCAAUUGCGUCUGCCCUGGUUUUGUGAAAACGGAUAUCAAUUACAAUCGUGGGAUACUGUCUAUUGAAGAAGGCGCGGAGAGUCCUGUAAGGCUUGUCCUGCAGCCUGAUGAUGGCCCUUCUGGUUUAUUCUUUGAUCGGAAAGAAGUCUCAUCAUUCGAAUGAGAUUAUGUUGUUCGUUGUAAACGUGCAGCUGAUUAUAUAUAUAAUCCUACGAGCCUUAGAAUAACAUGUACUAAUUAUCUUUAGUGAAAUACAAUUGUGUGUUGUACUAAUAUUCUUCUCUAAUGAUGUGUUGAGCUUGAAUUGAAAAUCAGAAUAUGGCCAUGACCCUAAUCUUUGUCAAUGAGUUUCCAGGAAGUUCUAUCACCAUUUUGUAUGUUACCUCACUCACUAAAGUAACAGGACUAGUUUAGUACCAGCAUUAUAUCAAUCAACUGCUCCUUAAUCCUUAAAGGGUCGUUUGAUUUGAAAAUUGUUAUCCGGAAUAACUAAUACCGGGAUUAGUUAUCCCCGGAUAACUUAUCUCACCAUGUAUAUGGGAUAAGUUAUCCCAUCACUAAGGGGAAAAUGAUGGGGUAAGUUAUCUCGGGUUAGAUUAAUUCCUCCAACCAAACAAAGGAAAAUGCAUUCUUUUAUUUUAUCCUGGGAUAAAAAUUUUCAAACCAAACGACCCCAAGGUUUUGGGUUGACUAUAUGAAUUAUCCGCUGCUAAACUGUUUUAUUCUGAUUUACACAACUUUCUUGUCAAACAACACAACCUACUUUAAGUGUCAUGUUGCUUUGACUCUCCAAAACGAUACCACUUUUAUUUUUAAUAAUCGUGGUAUUCGUGCUAGUUUGCGUGCACUUCGACUAAAUCCACGGGAUACCUGCCACCUCCCACCAGCAACAGGUAUCAGGUAACUCUGUCCACCAAGGUUAGAACAGAUGGGAAGAAAACAACUAGUGUUUAUCUUUGCUGGGAAUUGAAUCUAAGACCUCAUGGUGCUAAUCCCAACUUCAUUGAGCCACUAGACGAUACGCUUGGGUAAAACGAUACCACUUUUCGAGGACCUUGUUGGGAAAAACAACACACAUAAUUAAUAUUUGCAGUGUAUAUCAACACACAUAAUCGAUAUCACUUUUCGAGGACCUUGUUGGGAAAAACAACACACAUAAUUAAUAUUUGUAGUUUACUUCCUCCGUUCCAAAUUAUCCGUCCUAAAUUGAGGUGACACAUUGAUUAAAAAAAAUAAUAAAUAACAUGACUAGUUUAUCAUAAUAUCCCUAUUAAAUGAUUUUGACAUUUUAAUUUAAAGAAAAAGUAAUUAAUACAAAGGGUAAAACAUGAAUUUUUUUUUAUCUCAAUUGAUUAAUGAAAAAACAAGUAAAAUAAACAUCAAAUUAGAAAAUUUGGAACGGAUAAUUUGGAAUGAAGGGAGUAUAUAAUAGCAAUAAUUCUGUGUAGAUUACAUUGAGAAUUCACAUGAAAUUCCUUUUGAAUAAGGGGAAAAUCACGUAUAGAAAGUAAUUUAUAUUGUGUAGACGCAAGUACUGCAAAAAUUACUAUACACUCAAAAGAAAUAACUUCUUUUAAUUUUUCAUGUCACUACAAUAUUUCUCACUCAAUAUUUUUCCGCACCGACUAUUUCUCUAACAGUGAAUGCUUACAACUUAUGUCUUUUUUGCAAGAGACGCUCAAGUUUAUAGAUACAAGAUUUUCAUUUUUACAGAUUGGAGAUCUAAAAAAGUCAUUUCCUUCUAUUCUAUAUGCAAAUGGCCUCAAGAAAUCAUUUCCUCCCAAAAGUCAAGUUGACAUUUUUGAAUGUAGGAAGACAGGGGCGGAGCUACAGUCACCGAAGGAUGGUUAGAUGAAUAUCUUUUGUCGGGAUUUUUUUUGAGUAUAUAGAUUAAAUAUAGAUAUUUAUGGUUAUAUACAUGUUGUUGCACACCUUUGAUAAAUUAGAGAAGCAUAAUUCAGUGGUGAGGAGUGUUGGUCAAAAGUGUGCACUUUCACAUUAACAACCUGGGUUCGAACCUUGACAGGUAAAUUAAGCCUUAACUUCAGAUAUUUAGCUAAAUUGUGCUUUUACAUGGUACACAACUCUUAGAACAAGACUCCAUGUAGGCAGUUAGUAUUCUUUUCAAUUUAAUUUACUUGUCUGAUUUUGACACAGAUAUAAAAAUUAAGAAAACAAGAAGUAGAUGCUCAGCAGAUUCUCGAAACAAACAUUCAAAAUGGGGAAAAUGCAGACCAUCAUUUUGAAAUUCGUAACUAAGCAAGUUGGAAUAAUGGUCAAGAAAAGAAAAGUGAUUUGGCAACUUGCUUUUGUGUCAACAUGUACAGUGGUCCAUUUUGUGCCAAAUUUUCAAACUAUUUAACACAAACAAAUAUAAAAUAUGAAUAAUAGUCAAAGUAUGAAAAAAUUUAUAUUAUCCAAAAGGAAACAUCCAUCAUUAUUAGUAUGUACCAAAAAAACAACUAAUAUUAUUUUAUGACCAGCUAAGUCUAUCGCAUCUUGGGAAAUACGCCAAAUUCAUAGAUGACAGGCCUCAAAUUAAAUUCUAUUGUCCAACAAGGAACUACUGCUACUAUUUUUAAACACAAGAAAGAGGACAAACUUUACAUGAGAAAUAACGUAAUAAAUAGCCGACAAUACAUUAGCCUCCCUUAUUUCAUUCCUAACUAUAUCCAGUAUUAUAUAAUUCCAUCUACUAUAGUGAAAUAGUUCUACCAAACCCAAUGCACUGUUAGUUACAUAAGCCUGCUUAGACCAAAAAAGCUGGAUAUCAAGAAUCAAGAUCUACUAAUCCUUUCAACAAUGGCAGAGAAAACCACCAGCACAAGGUAACCUUAAUGACAUAGUUUUCCUAUGAUGUUAUUGUCUGUGUGUAUAACUUAAAUUCUCUUGAGCAUUUCUAAGAAAUAUGUGUUAUGAUCAGGUAUGCAGUAGUGACUGGGGGGAACAAAGGGAUAGGAUAUGAAACAUGCAGACAAUUAGCAAGCAAAGGUGUAGUGGUUGUGUUGACAUCAAGAGAUGAAAAGAAAGGCAUUGAAGCUAUUGAAAGGCUUAAAAAGGAGACAAACAUUACUAAUAAUGAUCAAAUUUUGUUUCAUCAGCUUGAUGUUAUGGAUCCAACUAGUAUUUCUUCUCUUGUGGACUUCAUCAAGACCAAAUUUGAAAGGCUCGAUAUUCUGGUAAGUACUAUUUAAAAUAAAGAAUACACAUUUGCUUAAGAUUUAGAUGUUUAGGAGUACUAUUUAUCACUCCGCCGUGCAAUCUAUAUAUAGAGAGAGAGGGGGGUGGGUGGAUGUUUUAUGUAUUAAUUAGUUGUUCUUGUGGUCACAAAUAUUCCUAGCUUAAAUUUGUUUGACGUAACAAGAAGUCAUUUAUUACUUUUUUUUUUUUCCGAUCCACCUAGUUUACUGAUUCAAUUAGUGAAGUAUAUAUUAUUCAAAUAAAAUGUUCAAGGAGAAGUAAGAAUAAUUUAGACAAACAAUCUUACAGGGGUUAUACAAAUAUUGAAAAAGGACAAAUAGUUGGCAUGAACGUGAGGGAGUGGUUUUAAUCUUCUUGGUGUGUACUAUUGAGGGGUGGAGUAGAAGCACCGGUCCUUCAGUCAACUUGAUUGUGCAUGUUGUUACCUCCCAUAGGACCUUCGUCAGCAAUGCAAAAAAAGAGCAGGAACAAGAGGUUGUUCUCUUGUAGUGAUGGGAUAGUUGAAAUUUCUCCAUCGUCAAGUUAAUCAAAGAUUUCGAUUGAGUUAAACAAAAAAGUCUUGAGCUUAUAAAAUUUGUGUUUGUCGUCCUAUUGAAUUUAUUUUUUAGAGUUUUGAGAUUCUUCUCCAGCCUAAUUAAGUUCCUUAAUUCGAUUCCUUUAAUUACCCUCAUCAACAUCAAUUUCACAUUCUUAAAAGAAAUGGAGAAAUUACGAUUGCUUUGCAGGUUAACAACGCAGGGGUUGGUGGAUUAAUGAUGGAAGGAGAUUAUGUUAUAUUAAAAGAUUUAAUAGAAAGAGAUUUCGUAACCAUUUCUACUGAAACUGAAGUAAGUAAGAUUUCAAUUUUAAUUAAUAUGUUGCACUAAAUUAAAUUUCAUCUUCAUUGUAUUAUAGAUUAUAGCUGGUGCAACAAUUUAAUUAAUUAUUUUUAUGCAUGCAGGAAGAGGGUGAUAGGAAGAUCAAAUCAAUUGCAGGUAUUGUUACAAAUUAUGAGUUGACAAAACAAUGCCUAGAGACUAACUACUAUGGUGCAAAAAGGAUGACUGAAGCAUUUAUCCCUCUCCUUCAGCUCUCUAAUUCACCAAGGAUUGUUAAUGUUGCUUCUUUCUUGGGAAAGUUAAAGGUAAAUAUAAUAUAUAGUAAAUUAAUGGAAAUGAUCUCUUUUGACCAAUUCCUCUUAAAUAUAUUUAGUUUAGCUUAGUCUAUAGUUGUUUCAAGUGUGAUUUGCUACCUUCUUUGAUUUCGUCAAAGUGCUGUAAUUUGAAGUGUCAUGGGUUCAAGCCUUUUGGAAAUAGCCUCUGACUGAAAUGCAAGGUCCGGCUGUGUACAAUACACUUAUGUGGUGGGCAAUUUCUCUACAUUUUGUUCAUGUAGUUAGUGUCCUUAUGAUAUAUAUCAUGGACUAUUGCUAUUGCGUAACUGAUCGUGUACAAUUGCGCGCUAACUAUAAUUUACUUAGUGAUUUUCGGUUUCCUUUUUCUCUACAGCUAUUGUGCAACGUAUGGGCUAAAAAUGUGCUAAGUGAUGCUAACAGCCUGACAGAAGAAAGGGUGGAUCAAGUGUCGAAUGAAUUUCUCAAAGAUUUUACAGAGAAUUCAGUAGAAGCCAAGGGUUGGCCAAGUUACUUCGCGGCUUACAAAGUCUCAAAAGCAUCGUUGAUUGCCUACACAAGAGUUUUAGCUACCAAAUACCCGAAUUUUAGGAUAAAUUCUGUAUGCCCUGGCUUUUGCGGUACAGACAUGACCGCGUAUACUGGGAGCUUAACUGCUGAAGAAGGGGCUGAAAGCUUGGUGAAUCUUGCUUUGUUGCCAAACGAUGGACCUUCUGGCGCCUUCUUUUACAGAAAGGAGGUCACUUCUUUUUGAACACGGAUGAUCAUUCAACUAUUAAUUGUACAUGAGCUCGGGGGAAUCCAGUAUAUCUAUCGAUGUAAGAAGAAUAAGAACUCACUCUGUCGACUGAUCAGAAACCAUAACCUUUAAAUUCCUGUCAAUUUUCUCCUAAAAACAUGAAAAUUAAAGGAUCUCUGUCUGCAUAAUAUGUUAGUAUAAUAAUCACAGGUAACUUAAUGUAUGUAAUGUGAGUUAAUCAAUGCUAUUAUUUGGAUAAUCCCAGGCUCCAACCAUGAGUAUUAACUAUUGACAGGGAAAACCUGCUACCUGCUGCCAAUUUCUUUCGCGAAAAGGCCCUAAAAUAUUUGUUGGAUGUAGCGAGCAAAAAGUUCACAUUGGUAACUGAAAAGAUUGAAAAGUUACAUAUAUGGCGUUAGAUCUCUUACUGGUGCGAGACCGUUUAAGGAAAACCGUGUGGACUAGGCGCAAAUUGGAUAAUAUCACAUCAUGUUAAGAAUAUCUUUAAGCUGAUAUAUCCCAACAAUAUUGUAAUCUGUUUAACAAAAUCACAAUCUCAAAGAACAUAAGCGUCUUAUUUCCUGUAUUAUUUUUAAACCUUUCAUGGAAGAAAUGGGGAACAAGAAGUUCAUAUAUUACCCGUUCAUGUGGAUCAAGAUGUAAAUCGCUAUUUAAUUUAGGAAGAUGCAUAGUGCGUACAUAAAUGAUAUUAAGUAAUUAAACAAAGUACAAGAAGCAGAUCAUAUGAUCCUCCAAAUAUAUUUGAAAUGUAAACUACAAGCAAACAUUUUAAAAUUAAAUUCAUUACGAAAUUAUUAUUAUAAAUUUAGGAAGAUGCGUAGUGCGUGCGUAUAUGAUAUUAAGUAGUUAAAAGAAAUACAAGAAGCAGAUCAUCAACAGAUCCUUCAAAUAUAUUUAAAGUGUUAACUACAAGAGAACAUUUUAAAAUUCAUUACUAAAUUAUUAUUAUAAAUUUAGGAAGAUGCGUAGUGCAUGCGUAUAUGAUAUUAAGUAGUUAAAAGAAAUACAAGAAGCAGAUCAUCAACAGAUCCUUCAAAUAUAUUUGAAGUGUUAACUACAAGAGAAAAUUUUAAAAUUCGUUACUAAAUUAUUAUAAAUUAGGAAGAUGCAUAGUGUGUGAUCAACAAAUCCUAAAAAAUAUUAAAAGUGAAAUUAAAGCUGCCGGCGAACAUUUCGAAAUUCGCUUCUAAUUAUAAUAGCAAGUUGAAUAAUGUGAAAAAAUGCUUAAUAUAUAAUAACUUAGCAACUUGCUUGCUUUUAAGAUCAGGACAAGACUAAUAUUACACAUGUAUAUGCUAACAUAUAGUCCAUCCUAAAUCAAAAAAAGCUCAACCUAUAGCAAGAAUCUCCAAAUCUAGAGCUACUUAAUAUAUAGUUCCAACAAUGGCAGAGAAAAUCACCAGCCUCGAAAGCACAAGGUAUAUAUAUGUACAAAUACAAUUCCUUAGUUGUUUCUUCCAUCUAUUUUCUUCGAUGAAGUUCUAAAUUCUACGCACUGACUUAAUAUAACAGAUCAAAAAUUAGCUAAUAUUGUAAAAAAGAAUUAUACAUCAAUGUGCAUAAGUUUCUUUUUUGGGUAUAUGAUUAUAUUAUAUGACCAGGUAUGCAGUGGUGAGUGGGGGGAACAAAGGGAUAGGAUAUGAAACAUGCAAACAAUUAGCAAGCAAAGGUGUAGUGGUUGUGUUGACAUCAAGAGAUGAAAAGAAAGGCAUUCAAGCUAUUGAAAGGCUCAAAAAGGAGUCAAACAUUAGUAAUAAUGAACAGAUUUUGUUUCAUCAACUUGAUAUUAUGGAUCCAGCUAGUAUUUCUUCUCUUGUGAACUUCAUCAAAACCAAAUUUGGAAGGCUUGAUAUUUUGGUAAGUACUAUUUAUCACUCCAUCCCAUCUGUUCCUUUUUCGCUUGAAGAUUCCGGCAAAAAUACAUUUUUUUAUUCCUGUUAAGAUUUUUUACAUGUAUCCCUAACUUCAACUCUGAAGAAAAAGUCUUUUUUCUAACUCGGUAUAUAAUUGUCAACUCGGUCCUAUAUAUUAGUCUCUAUGUUUUCCUUAACAACUCAAGAUGAUAUGUUUAAGAUCAUAACAUGAAAAUAUAUAUAUGUAAAUUGAGACGGUACAUAGAGGAGUACUAUUUGGUAUCCAAUUUAUUUAGGUGAGACUGCUUAGCCUCCUUGAGAUCUACAAAAAUGGGUAUUUUUUAAAAGUAAAUCCCCUAGGCAAGAUGUCCAGGACUAGUUUUUUAUAUAUAUAAAAAGUAAAACUCAAAAGAAAACAGUACAAGUAAGAAAUGUCUAUGUCUUGCAUUACUAAUUUUAUUGAGGCGUAAUAAAAUUUCUUUUAAUUAAUAUGCAUGUAGCAAAUAAUAAGAAAAAAGAACUAAAUAUUCUAUAAUCAUGACGGAGUUAAUAGCCAACUCUUGAUGAUAUUACAAAUAAUAAUAGUUAAGUAAUAAAAGAUUAAAAUAGGCAAGAAUGUAAAGUAAUUUACAUUUCUCUAAAAAUUUGAAAUCUUCAAGAAGAUGUAAAAAAAUGAGUGAACAGUCAUAAAUAAUUUCUUUUUUAUUAUUUCUUUUGUGCAUUUUCUCAUAUUGUUUGGAGAAAUAAUAAAUUACUAAUUUAUUUUUUUGCAGGUUAACAACGCAGGAAUUGGUGGAUUAAUGGUAGAAGGAGAUGUACUUAUGCUAAAAGAGAUAAUAGAAAGAGAUUUCUUAAUCAUUUCUACUGAAAACGGAGUAAGAUAUAUAGCCAAUAUAAUUCUAAUAUGUUGUCAAUAAAAAGAAAUAUGGAGACGAUCUUUUUGUCAACAAUUUUCUACAUAUAUACAUUUCAAAGAAUUAAAUGCAAUAGCAACAAUUUUUAUUACUAUUAAUUAAUUAUGCAGGAAGAGGGAGGUAGGAUGAAAUCAUAUCCUGGCAUUGUUACAAAUUAUGAGUUGACAAAACAAUGCCUAGAGACAAACUAUUAUGGUGCAAAAAGGAUGACUGAAGCAUUUAUCCCCCUCCUUCAACUCUCUAAUUCACCAAGGAUUGUUAAUGUUGCUUCUUUCUUGGGAAAGUUAAAGGUAAAUAUACUUUCUGUUUUGUCGAGCUCUACAUACAUUCAAUUUGAUCGUUAAAGGUUAGUAAUCUUUGUUUUAACCAACUUACUACUAUGGGAAUUUUUGUAAUCUGAUCAAUUCUUGUGCAGCUAUUGUGCAACAAAUGGGCAACAGAAGUGCUACGUGAUGCUGAUAGCCUCACAGAAGAAAAGGUAGAUCAGGUGGUGAAUGAAUUUCUCAAAGAUUUCACAGAGAAAUCAACAGAAUCCAAAGGAUGGCCAAGUUACUUCACAGCCUACAAAGUCUCAAAAGCAUCGUUGAUUGCCUACACAAGAGUUUUAGCUACCAAAUAUCCGAAUUUUCGAAUAAACUCUGUAUGUCCUGGCUAUUGCAAAACAGACGUAAAUGCAAAUACUGGAAGCUUAACUGCUGGAGAAGGUGCUGAGAGCUUGGUGAAUCUUGCUUUGCUUCCAAACGAUGGACCUUCUGGCCUUUUCUUUUACAGAAAGGAGGUCACAUCUUUUUGAACAUUGAUUGAUUCACAAAAUUGGUUUGCGUGUGUGGCAGAAUUCAAUCGUUUCUUAUCAAUUUUAUAUACAUUGCAAGAAUAAGUUGGAGAUGCAUUUUAAAACUCACUUGAAUUUUAUCGUUUAAAUUCUGAAUUAUUCACUACUGUUAUAGUGUUAUUUUGGAGAUAGUUAAUUAAAGGAUGUGCAUUCCUACUUCCUUAUUUACGAGUAUUUUUUUGCUGAUUUUUUUCAGAUAUGACUUCUUAAUCAUCUGAAUAUACUCUACUAUUUCAUAUAUGCUACUAGGAAUUAUAACUUAAUUAUACUGAACACCACCAAUAAUAUGAUUUCGUUUCGAAUAAACUCUUUGUAUUUAAAAUUUAAAACCAAUACUAAGGCAAAGGAGUGUCUUGAGAUAAACUAUCAUGGUGUGAAAAGAAUGACUGAAGCAUUUUUUCCACUCCUCCAAUAUUCCAAGUCGCCGAUGAUUGUCUGUGUAAUACGUUAGCAAUCACAGGAAACUUAAUAUACAUAAUGUAAAUGAUUAAGAUAGGUUAUUUAUCUGCCAAUUUGAUAAUUCAAUGCAAAUAUUACAUGAGAAGCUGACUGAAAUUUUCCUAACUACAUUUCCAGAACUUGAAACAUGAAUAGGCUAAAGGAGUAUUAAGUGACACUGAACACCUCACAGAAGAAAAAAUAGAAGAGGUGAUAAACCAAUAUCUGAAGGACUUCAAAGAAGAUUCACUUCAAGCCAAGGGCUGGCCUUCUCUCAUGUCAGCCUACAUACUCUCUCAAGCAGUGAUGAACGCGUACUCCAGGAUCAUGGCAAAGAAGCACCCAUCUAUACA
RNAcentral lists this long non-coding RNA (9676 nucleotides) under Capsicum annuum. RNAcentral's name for it is "long non-coding RNA (CANN_LNC012924)". The record is from RNAcentral. Lineage: Eukaryota; Viridiplantae; Streptophyta; Magnoliopsida; Solanales; Solanaceae.